Non-coding RNA from Potamilus streckersoni, 73 nucleotides. The record is from the annotation of a GenBank genome assembly. Lineage: Eukaryota; Metazoa; Mollusca; Bivalvia; Unionida; Unionidae.
UGCUCUGGUGGCCUAGUGGUUAGAGCGUCCGCUUCAGAUGCGGAUUUCGUGGGUUCAUUCCCCGGUGGAGUCA